Molecule: transfer RNA, 75 nt
Filed under: Cordylochernes scorpioides
Lineage: Eukaryota; Metazoa; Arthropoda; Arachnida; Pseudoscorpiones; Chernetidae
Description: tRNA-Thr
Source: RNAcentral
UGUCCAGGGUCGGGAAUCGAACCCACAACCUUCUGCUUACCGGGCAGGUGCCAUGUCCACUAGGCUACCCUGGAC